RNAcentral lists this ribosomal RNA (373 nucleotides) under uncultured organism. RNAcentral's name for it is "partial 16S ribosomal RNA". It matches the Rfam family "Bacterial small subunit ribosomal RNA", at positions 527 to 896 of the family's 1533-position model. The record is from RNAcentral.
GUAGGUGGCAAGCGUUGUCCGGAAUUAUUGGGCGUAAAGCGCGCGCAGGCGGUUCUUUAAGUCUGAUGUGAAAGCCCACGGCUCAACCGUGGAGGGUCAUUGGAAACUGGGGAACUUGAGUACAGAAGAGGAAAGCGGAAUUCCACGUGUAGCGGUGAAAUGCGUAGAGAUGUGGAGGAACACCAGUGGCGAAGGCGGCUUUCUGGUCUGUAACUGACGCUGAGGCGCGAAAGCGUGGGGAGCAAACAGGGAUUAGAUACCCUGGUGGUCCACGCCGUAAACGAUGAGUGCUAAGUGUUAGGGGGUUUCCCGCCCCUUAGUGCUGCAGCUAACGCAUUAAGCACUCCGCCUGGGGAGUACGGCCGCAAGGCUG